GGACUGAUAGCUCAAUCGGUUAGAGCACUGACCUUAUAAGUCAGAGGUUAGAGGUUCGAUUCCUCUUCGGUCUA
Molecule: transfer RNA, 74 nt
Filed under: Hominimerdicola alba
Lineage: Bacteria; Bacillati; Bacillota; Clostridia; Eubacteriales; Oscillospiraceae
Description: Ruminococcus albus tRNA_Ile_TAT
Rfam family: tRNA
About the family: Transfer RNA (tRNA) molecules are approximately 80 nucleotides in length. Their secondary structure includes four short double-helical elements and three loops (D, anti-codon, and T loops).
Source: RNAcentral